This 479-nucleotide ribosomal RNA is filed under the name uncultured bacterium. RNAcentral describes it as "partial 16S ribosomal RNA". It matches the Rfam family "Bacterial small subunit ribosomal RNA", at positions 28 to 523 of the family's 1533-position model. The record is from RNAcentral.
GACGAACGCUGGCGGCGUGCUUAACACAUGCAAGUCGAGCGAUGAAGCACCUUCGGGUGUGAAUUAGCGGCGAACGGGUGAGGAACACGUGAAGAAUCUGCCUUCAACUCUGGGAUAACUCCGGGAAACCGGGGCUAAUACCGGAUAUGAGCCUUGAUCGCAUGAUCGGGGCUGGAAAGUUUUUCGGUUGAAGAUGACUUCGCGGCCUAUCAGCUUGUUGGUGAGGUAAUGGCUCACCAAGGCGACGACGGGUAGCCGGCCUGAGAGGGCGACCGGCCACACUGGGACUGAGACACGGCCCAGACUCCUACGGGAGGCAGCAGUGGGGAAUAUUGGGCAAUGGAGGAAACUCUGACCCAGCGACGCCGCGUGAGGGAUGAAGGCCUUCGGGUUGUAAACCUCUUUCAGUAGGGAAGAAGCGAAAGUGACGGUACCUACAGAAGAAGCACCGGCUAACUAUGUGCCAGCCGCCGCGGUAA